This 254-nucleotide ribosomal RNA is filed under the name uncultured bacterium. RNAcentral's name for it is "partial 16S ribosomal RNA". It matches the Rfam family "Bacterial small subunit ribosomal RNA", at positions 524 to 776 of the family's 1533-position model. The record is from RNAcentral.
UACGUAGGGGGCAAGCGUUGUCCGGAAUCAUUGGGCGUAAAGAGCUCGUAGGCGGCUCAGUAAGUCAGGUGUGAAAACUCCAGGCUCAACCUGGAGACGCCACUUGAUACUGCUGUGGCUAGAGUCCGGUAGGGGAGCAUGGAAUUCCUGGUGUAGCGGUGAAAUGCGCAGAUAUCAGGAGGAACACCGGUGGCGAAGGCGGGUCUCUGGGCAGUAACUGACGCUGAGGAGCGAAAGCGUGGGGAGCGAACAGG